This 484-nucleotide ribosomal RNA is filed under the name uncultured bacterium. Its description in RNAcentral is "partial 16S ribosomal RNA". It matches the Rfam family "Bacterial small subunit ribosomal RNA", at positions 30 to 507 of the family's 1533-position model. The record is from RNAcentral.
AUUGAACGCUGGCGGCAGGCCUAAUACAUGCAAGUCGAGCGAACAAAGGAGGCUCGUUCUUGGCUUAAGCGGGGGACGGACGGGUAAGUAAUAGGAAUAUACCCGACAGUGGGGGCUAAGGUACGUAAAGGGGACCGAAUCCCGUAUCGGUUCAGAGGGUGAACGGGAGGGUUCUACGGACCAAGCCCUUUUUGAUGUGCCUACGUCGGAUUAGCUAGUUGGUGGGGUAAAGGCCUACCAAGGCGACGAUCCGUAGCUGACCUGAGAGGGUGAUCAGCCACACUGGAACUGAGACACGGUCCAGACUCCUACGGGAGGCAGCAGUAGGGAAUAUUCGACAAUGGGCGAAAGCCUGACCCAGCCAUGCCGCGUGUGUGAUGAAGGUCUUCGGAUUGUAAAGCACUGUAAUUUGGGAAGAAGAGAUGUGAAUGUAAAUCUGGCCGUCUUGACGUUACCAACAGAGUAAGCAACGGCUAACUUCGUG